AGCCGUGUGGCAUAGUGGUUAAGUGCGUGCACUGCCACUCACACGGUCAGGAGUUCGAGCCCCCUGUGGGUCA
Molecule: transfer RNA, 73 nt
Filed under: Sphaerodactylus townsendi
Lineage: Eukaryota; Metazoa; Chordata; Lepidosauria; Squamata; Sphaerodactylidae
Description: tRNA-Gly
Source: RNAcentral